Molecule: long non-coding RNA, 2580 nt
Filed under: Triticum aestivum (bread wheat)
Lineage: Eukaryota; Viridiplantae; Streptophyta; Magnoliopsida; Poales; Poaceae
Description: long non-coding RNA (TAES_LNC000249)
Source: RNAcentral
UACUAGGUGCUCAGCUGAGAUUACCUUCAAAACAGACCCUCAGAAUUCAGACUACACGGUAGAAUCUGGGGCUAGUCGUAAUUUUGAACCUUGGCGUGAAGAGGAUGAGGUGAGUGAUAUAGGGCAAAUUCUGAGCGCAGCUUUUAUCUUUUGACCAGCUUGAGCUUCCAUUUAAUCAUAGUGAUUUAUUUUCAAUUGUUCAGGUUGUGGAUAAAGAGAAGAGGAAGCGAGAAGCGGAGGAGAUGGGUGAUGCAAUGAGAGCACUGGAGAACAGAGCAAUGGAUUCAAAGCAAGACAUGGACAUACUUGCUGCUUUAGAAGAGAUGCGGUCGAUGAAGGUAUGAUCUGGGCAUCUUGCCAAUCUCUUAAGUUCAGUUAACCUGUACUUGUACAUGCACAUGAAAUUUUGACUUUACUGACUACUGACAUCGUUUUAUUGUGCUGCUUACAGUCUAGACAUGCUGGAGUCUCCGUUGACCAGAUGCUUGAAAUUUUGAAGCAUUCCGCUCAUCAAAAGGCAAGAUCUCACAAACUUUGUUUUCUGUAUAAUUGAUAAAAGUUUCACGUGUAGCGUUUCACAUUUGGGUAAUAUGUAGGUUAUUUUGCUUAUGGCAUGGUGGUCCUGUGGCAUCAUUUUCUUAAAAUCUUUUCUUUAAUAUUGGCCAUUUUGUGUGUGGUUACAGGAGGGAAAAACAGUAGCAGAAUUAGAUGAAGAAGACGAAGAACUCAUCAAAUCAAUCACUUUCAGAGUAAUCCUCUAUGUCAACUUUCAUAUGUACCUGCAUGUGCAAACUUGUAUUUGAAUUUUUUUCUUACCCUGUCAUACUGUUGGUUAUUGCAGAACUCGAAAGAUUAUGUUAAACGGAUCGAAGACGAUGAUGACGACGAUGAUGACAAUUUUGGUAUACCAGGACAGUCAAGUGUCACGUCAAAGGUACUUGUCUCACUUUUUUUUUUCUUCCUUUUCUUUUCUGUUUCUAUUUCAUAUUGUAUGUUCUGUGGCCUUAAGUAUCGAUUGUUGAAAGAUCACUGUAGACCAUUAGCUUGAAUUUAAUUUGUUAUUUCGAAACUAGCUGACCUGAUAAAGCAGCCAUCAGGUACAACAUCAAAACAUGCCAUUUAUCAUUUGUGCGCACUUAUUCUAUUUGAAACAGUUUGAGAUUCCUCUUCUUGAUAAGUAAGCUGUAAAUAUGCUGCUUUUAUAUAGAUUUGUUCAAAGUGUAAGCUAGCUAAUGACUGAAUUUGAAAUUACCAAAAUUAUCGUCUUCUGUGAAGUGUUUGUUGUAGUUUCUCUAGGAUGCUUUCAGUUUGCAUUAGAUAUAGCAACAGUUGAGAUUAACGGAGGAAGACAUUUCGAGCUCAAAUCCUUUUACAAGAGUAAAUGCUGGUCAUUGAGCAACGUGUAGUAUAGAACUUAUAUCAAACAUUGUCAUAAAUCUAAUGGUGUUAUGGUCUUCUGGAGUAGCCCUCAUCGAGUCAUUGUAGCAAUUUCUAUGGAAGAUAUUAUGCAGUUUUUCUAUGUGGAGGAUAUUACUUCUCUCCUUGCCAUGAGUAUGUUCAUGUAUUUGCAGUUUUCAGUUCGACGUCUCUUGAACUCGUUUGUUUAGUGAGCUGAUAGUUCCUACUUUUUAUGUAGAUUAAUGAAUCUUCUGAAUCAAUGACGAACCCAACAGAUGUCUUGACCAAAGCUAAUGGACCUGAGAGUGCCAACAAAGAAGGUAGACACUCAUAUGCGUUCACCUUGUUUUUUCACUGUAUCACUAAUAUUGUUAAGGGCACAUGCAGAAUCCGAGAAUUCCAUAUUUUAGAACUUGCUAUUUCAAUGCUUAUGCGCUGACCUUGAUCCUGUUUCACGUAUCACGCAGCCUAUUUUGGCCAUCGCUAUAUUUUAUCAUGGAUUACCAAUGUCAACCUUGUUUUAUGUCGCUAUUUGCCUCUAUUUUUACUUGUGCUAUUUUCUUUUUAUGUGAUCAAACAGUGUUUCAUUUUGAAAACAAAUGUGUUGCUUACAUUUAAACAUUGCUCUACAGGAAACAAGAGCUUGGCAUCUAAGAUGCCCAAAUUCAUAGUAAAACCAAAGCCCGCUGGUGCAAAUCCUCAGAAGAAACAGAAGACGGAAACUGAUGCCGUCCAAGAUAACGGCAAAGCACCGGCUGCUGAGAACAAAAAUGAAGCUUCAGUAGAGAAGACCAAUGUUCUUCAGUCCCUCUGCCAGUAUGAUGAUAGCGAUGAAAGUGAUGACUGAAGACAAGGCAAACCCCUGGAACACGGAUGUGUUAGUUUUUUUCGAGAAAACGCAAGAGAGCUNNNNNNNNNNACUCUGAACGCUAGUAAUGGACUAACACGGAUGUGUUGGUCUAAGUCUGUAAAUUGUCUUCUCUCGCAAAAUCUCUGCUGCCAACUGUAAGUCCGCCGUGUUGAAACCUAUGGCAACUACAGUAAUAGUUUAGACUCCAGAUAGAGUUGUGUUUGGGAUAAAUUUGUAACAUUAACAAAUUCAGAUUUUGUUUCAAAAUUGAUUUUUUUAUUAUUUUUUUUGAAAUUGAGAUUAUGGAUGCAUCACUACCAUCUCUAUUAAUG